Molecule: unclassified non-coding RNA, 224 nt
Filed under: plant metagenome
Description: partial contains small subunit ribosomal RNA, internal transcribed spacer 1, and 5.8S ribosomal RNA
Source: RNAcentral
UCUCCGUUGGUGAACCAGCGGAGGGAUCAUUACAGGACUCGCAAGACUCCUUCACCCUGUGAACCUCACUACAAGCACGUUGCUUCGGCGGGUGUCCCGGCGGGGGUUUUCCCUCGCCGGGGCGCACAGCCCGCCGGCAGCCUACUAUACUCUGUCUCUUUGCGUUGGCAUCUCGAGAAAACACAAACAAGUUAAAACUUUCAACAACGGAUCUCUUGGUUCUG